Molecule: long non-coding RNA, 241 nt
Organism: Coregonus clupeaformis (lake whitefish)
Lineage: Eukaryota; Metazoa; Chordata; Actinopteri; Salmoniformes; Salmonidae
Exons: 3
Source: RefSeq, a predicted model, not a curated record
CUAAGAAGCUGACAAACAGAAGGUUUAACUGACUAAAUAACUGACAAACAGAAGGUUUAACUGACUAAAUAACUGACAAACAGAAGGUUUAACUGACUAAGAAGAUGACAAACAGAAGGUUUAACUGACUAAAUAACUGACAAACAGAAGGUUUAACUGACUAAAUAACUGACAAACAGAAGGUUUAACUGACUAAGAAGCUGACAAACAGAAGGUUUAACUGACUAAAUAACUGACAAAC